This 1238-nucleotide long non-coding RNA is filed under the name Homo sapiens (human). RNAcentral's name for it is "HSALNT0087393". The record is from RNAcentral. Lineage: Eukaryota; Metazoa; Chordata; Mammalia; Primates; Hominidae.
CAGAGCUAUCCGGUAAAGAAGAAACCAAAAAGCUCUGAGGCAUAGCACCCCUAAACCAACUUACCCAGGAAGCUAGAAGGAGCAGAGGUGUUUUCCCCCAGGGCUGAGAAAGCCAAACUGAACUGGUGGUUACUGUUCCAAAAUUUGAAUCAACCUAGAGCCCUGAGAGUACCCCAGGCCUUUGAGGACUAGACACUAGAAGACGGAUGGUUGAUGCAAAUGUCCAAGACAGAAGUGGGUUUGGCAUACCUACUGGGUUUCCUGGGCCUUCAGAGUUGUAUGGAAGAACUGAAAAAUUUCCUCAUGUUUCCCAGGACAGCUGUGGAAAUGAAGACAGAACGAGCAAGACAGCAAGAGAGAACUGUUGGGCACUGAAAUCUAGAAGUUAUGAAAAGAGGCUACCUCUGGGGACAGUUAUGUAGAUCAAAUUUAGAGAUUAAUCAUGGCUUAGGACCAGAAAGAACUCUAUGUUUCAAUUAUGAAUUAUGACCAAGUAGGCAGAAGCUAUCAGGCAGUGACCAGAUGACCCCCUCAAGUUUUCUGGGUACAAAGAAAGUGUACUUGAAAUGAAAAUUAAGAACUUGUAAAAAUUGUGUAUAUUUAACUUUUGAAUUAAUGGCCUGAAAAAAUUAUACCAUUAUGUGUGAAUAACUAAUAAAGUAGAAGUUUGAAGAUGCAAGCAUGAAAGGCAAAUAACAGAGCACAUUUCAGAGAAAACAGAGAUUAUAAUUUUAUGGAGAGGGAUAUGUAGUCUUGACCAAAAGGGAUACUUCUUUUUCAGAAACAAGAUCAAAAUUAGAUUUUUUAAAUUGAAAGUUUAAAUCAUAUAAACUUUGCCUAUUAAGUAAGGGGGAAAAAAUCCUCAUCUGUUUAUAAUUUUAAAAAAUGGGAUGCUUUUGGGAAGUUUCUUUUUUUCCUAUGGGUUUCACAUUCCUGCAAGUAGCAUCAGGUAGAUGAAUAUUUAGAACCAAUUUCAAGAAGCAAAAAUUAAGUCUUAGAGAACUAUAUUUAAUUUCAAGUACAGUAGUCUUUAGAGUAUUUGGUACAUUAAAGAACGGAAAAUGUUAGUUCCACUUACUACUUAAAUUUUAAUAGAUUUUAUUUUGAUUAUUAUUUUUUGUUUGUUUCUAAGAGUCAGCGUAACCCAAUCAUUUCACUUUUCCUCAGGAUCACCACAAAUAUCACUCUUUUUCUUUUUCAUUUUUUAGAGCUUAAUUGCUUCGUUUUGUCUGUUUUGA